Molecule: ribosomal RNA, 441 nt
Filed under: Poa pratensis subsp. angustifolia
Lineage: Eukaryota; Viridiplantae; Streptophyta; Magnoliopsida; Poales; Poaceae
Description: eukaryotic LSU rRNA
Rfam family: Eukaryotic large subunit ribosomal RNA (bases 301-441)
Source: RNAcentral
UGCAGAAUCCCGCGAACCAUCGAGUCUUUGAACGCAAGUUGCGCCCGAGGCCACUUGGCCGAGGGCACGCCUGCCUGGGCGUCACGCCAAACACGCUCCCACCCCUCAUCGGGUGGUGGGAUGCGGCAUGUGGCUCCCCGUCUUGCAAGGGGCGGUGGGCCGAAGAUGCGGCUGCCGGCGUAUCGUGCCGGACACAGCGCGUGGUGGGCGANCUCGCUUUACUUACCGCAGUGCAUCCGGCCCAUAGCCGACGUGAUGGCCUUAAGGACCCUAUGAACGGAGCGCAUGACGCUCCGACCGCGACCCCAGGUCAGGCGGGACUACCCGCUGAAUUUAAGCAUAUAAAUAAGCGGAGGAGAAGAAACUUACAAGGAUUCCCCUAGUAACGGCGAGCGAACCGGGAUCAGCCCAGCUUGAGAAUCGGGCGGCCGUGCCGUCCGA